GAUGAACGCUGGCGGCGUGCCUAAUACAUGCAAGUCGAGCGAACAGACGAGAGUGCUUGCACUCUCUGACGUUAGCGGCGGACGGGUGAGUAACACGUGGGUAACCUACCUAUUAGACUGGGAUAACUUCGGGAAACCGGAGCUAAUACCGGAUAAUAUUUAGCUUCGCAUGACGCAAUAGUGAAAGACGGUUCUGCUGUCACUUAUAGAUGGACCCGCGGUGUAUUAGCUAGUUGGUGAGGUAACGGCUCACCAAGGCAACGAUACAUAGCCGACCUGAGAGGGUGAUCGGCCACACUGGGACUGAGACACGGCCCAGACUCCUACGGGAGGCAGCAGUAGGGAAUCUUCCGCAAUGGACGAAAGUCUGACGGAGCAAUGCCGCGUGAGUGAAGAAGGUUUUCGGAUCGUAAAACUCUGUUGUAAGGGAAGAACAAGUACGUUAGUAACUGAACGUACCUUGACGGUACCUUACCAGAAAGCCACGGCUAACUACGUG
Molecule: ribosomal RNA, 499 nt
Filed under: uncultured bacterium
Lineage: Bacteria
Description: partial 16S ribosomal RNA
Rfam family: Bacterial small subunit ribosomal RNA
Source: RNAcentral